UACGUAGGGGGCAAGCGUUGUCCGGAAUCAUUGGGCGUAAAGCGCGUGUAGGCGGCUUGGUAAGUCCGCUCUGAAAGCCCGGGGCUCAACCCCGGGAGGCGGGUGGAUACUGUCAAGCUCGAGUCCGGAAGAGGCGAGUGGAAUUCCUGGUGUAGCGGUGAAAUGCGCAGAUAUCAGGAGGAACACCAGUGGCGAAGGCGGUCUCGUGGGCCGUGAACUGACGCUGAG
RNAcentral lists this ribosomal RNA (228 nucleotides) under uncultured bacterium. RNAcentral describes it as "partial 16S ribosomal RNA". It matches the Rfam family "Bacterial small subunit ribosomal RNA", at positions 524 to 750 of the family's 1533-position model. The record is from RNAcentral.